Molecule: ribosomal RNA, 253 nt
Filed under: uncultured bacterium
Lineage: Bacteria
Description: partial 16S ribosomal RNA
Rfam family: Bacterial small subunit ribosomal RNA
Source: RNAcentral
UACGUAGGUGGCAAGCGUUGUCCGGAUUUACUGGGCGUAAAGUGUGCGCAGGCGGCGCUGCAAGUCGAGUGUGAAAUCCCCGAGCUUAACUUGGGAAUUGCGCUCGAAACUACGGCGCUGGAGUAUGGCAGAGGAAGGUGGAAUUCCACGUGUAGCGGUGAAAUGCGUAGAGAUGUGGAGGAACACCGAUGGCGAAGGCAGCCUUCUGGGCCAAUACUGACGCUCAUGCACGAAAGCGUGGGGAGCAAACAGG